GGCUCGAUAGCUCAGUUGGUAGAGCAAAGGACUGAAAAUCCUUGUGUCGGUGGUUCAAUUCCACCUCGAGCCACCA
RNAcentral lists this transfer RNA (76 nucleotides) under Candidatus Pelagibacteraceae bacterium. RNAcentral's name for it is "tRNA-Phe". It matches the Rfam family "tRNA". From Rfam's summary of the family: Transfer RNA (tRNA) molecules are approximately 80 nucleotides in length. Their secondary structure includes four short double-helical elements and three loops (D, anti-codon, and T loops). RNAcentral also lists the same sequence under 3 other names. The record is from RNAcentral. Lineage: Bacteria; Pseudomonadati; Pseudomonadota; Alphaproteobacteria; Candidatus Pelagibacterales; Candidatus Pelagibacteraceae.